This 264-nucleotide ribosomal RNA is filed under the name uncultured bacterium. RNAcentral's name for it is "partial 16S ribosomal RNA". It matches the Rfam family "Bacterial small subunit ribosomal RNA", at positions 526 to 779 of the family's 1533-position model. The record is from RNAcentral.
CGUAGGGUGCGAGCGUUAUCCGGAAUUAUUGGGCGUAAAGAGCUCGUAGGCGGUUUGUCGCGUCUGUCGUGAAAAGUCCGGGGCUUAAACCCCGGACGUCUGCGGGUGGGGUACGGGCGAGACUAGAGUGCAGUAGGGGAGACUGGAUUCCUGGUGUAGCGGUGGAAUGCGCAGAUAUCAGGAGGAACACCGAUGGCGAAGGACAGGUCUCUGGGCUGUAACUGACGCUGAAGGAGCGAAAAGCAUGGGGGAGCGAACAGGAUU